GCAGACAAGUUAUUUGCUUCUUUAUUUGCAUGAAAGUAACAGAAUAUUUCCUAUUAGUGCAUGAAAAGGUUCACUUAACGGUGAAUAAUGAGCGACUUUUCAUUUCUUCUCAAGCAUCGUGGAAUUCACAUCUCCUGCAAUAAUAGACAACUAUGUAUAGUAAGACUUGGUUACCUUGUGUGAGAGCGAGGGAUAAAUGGAAGCUUUCCAUGUGUUACAUUCGGUGUUCUUUACGCCUUACUCAUCUCGACGUAUAUUAUCUCUGACAAAAACCUCUCUGCUUGGACUUCCAAGAAGGGCACAAUGACUUCUUGUAGAGAACAUGGUCAACUUGUCAGGAACAGCCUCAAGAACGUGGUGAUCUGAAGGUCAUCUUGACCAAGAACAGUGAUGCCUAACACCUCCAGCACUCCAGCUGUGGUAAAACUACGACUCCCAAGAUGCACGCUUGCUUGGCUGUUCUCAGAACUCCAUAGAAAUGAGUAGAGCAUGCUGGGAGUCGUAGUUUCACCACAGCUGGCCAUCACUGACCUAGAAGAAUCCUACUUGGAAGAGACAGCCCAACCGAAGGCCAGACACCAUUAGAUCAUCUCAAGGUCUUUACUUCUCUAUUGAAUGACCUUCAACCAAGAUUUUACCCUACAGCCUGACCUAAGUCAAGGGAAGGAUAUUCACUAGAAAACUUGUCAGGCUAACCUAAGAUACAUAUGAACUUGGCCUAGACCUACACGUAAUAUACAGAUACCAGGUACAAUUUCCCCACAGAUGUAGCAAAUGUUAACCUGACACUUAACACGUCAAGGUCUCCUGCCCGUUUUGCGUCUGCAUUUUUCCCCCGGACCUAUUGACUUCAAUGGGGUCUGAGGUCUGCUCUGCAUUGUGGACUUAUUCUAUUUAUUAUGUAUUUGUGGAACGGACAUACGGAUGCUGAAAGCAUACAGAUGAUCCAUGUGCUUUCCGCAUCCGGAUGUCCAUUCUGCCAAAAGAUAUAAGAACUCCUAUACAUGGCCACAAAAUGAGGACCACAGGACCACUGAAGUCAAUAGGACCGCAAAAAAUGUGGAUGCAACACGGAUAAUGUCCGUAUUUUGCUCGCAGACCGAAAAAUACAUACGGUUGUGUGAGGCCUAAAGGCUAAUUUGUCCCCAGGAAAUUCACUGAUAAACCAGGCACAAUGCCUUGUAGGACUAGCUCAGCGGAACGUAAUGAUACCUCUCACUCCGCGAUCCGUUGCUUCGUUCUGAUGAAAAACUACAUUUAAUCCAUAUGCAAAUGAUCAGUUAAGUGCACCGAGGGCGGGCCCCAAGCCACUCUGUGCACCCUUGCUCUUCCUGCUUUCUCUGCCGGCCCCUCCCUCUACUUGAUUGACAGGGCCGAGUUCCUACACAGUCAUCUCACCUGACCAGUACUGGCUCUCUAACUGGUACAUGAGCAGUACAACUCAAAAGGCAUUCCGUUAUAGAAUUGCGUUAUGGUCCGUCGUAGCGGAAUCCAUAACGCAAUUCACCUUUUACCAACAAAUGAAGUGUGAACGAAUUUCAUAAGUGGAAAUUCGCUCAUCUCUAGUGGACACCAUAGGAUAAGUGUCCAGAGGAGGUACUGCACCCUGCAAAACCAACCUGAAAUACGGGUUUUAUUCUGGUAACUCAGGGUCCAUUAGAACCCCCCUCCCCCCCCCCUUUCCAAAAAAAAAUAAUGUCUUACCUCUCUGAGCUGCAAUACCACACACAGGUAUGGCGCUUUUUUAGGAAGACGCCAACCAUGUUUUUUUUAUUUUAUUUAUCCCAUACAGGUUGUACAAAA
Long non-coding RNA from Bufo bufo (common toad), 1803 nucleotides. RefSeq lists it as uncharacterized. The transcript is spliced from 2 exons. The record is from RefSeq and is a predicted model, not a curated record. Lineage: Eukaryota; Metazoa; Chordata; Amphibia; Anura; Bufonidae.